GGAAUCGCUAGUAAUCGCGAAUCAGAAUGUCGCGGUGAAUACGUUCCCGGGUCUUGUACACACCGCCCGUCACACCAUGGGAGUUGACAACGCCCGAAGUCAGUGACCCAACCGAAAGGAAGGAGCUGCCGAAGGCGGGGUUGAUAACUGGGGUGAAGUCGUAACAAGGUAAC
Molecule: ribosomal RNA, 173 nt
Filed under: uncultured bacterium
Lineage: Bacteria
Description: partial 16S ribosomal RNA
Rfam family: Bacterial small subunit ribosomal RNA
Source: RNAcentral